RNAcentral lists this long non-coding RNA (1385 nucleotides) under Chrysolophus pictus (golden pheasant). Its description in RNAcentral is "lncRNA (ENSCPIG00010006007.1)". Lineage: Eukaryota; Metazoa; Chordata; Aves; Galliformes; Phasianidae. The record is from RNAcentral.
UGCGGCAGCACGGUCACACAGAGCAUAUGCUGCCUAUGACAGGCGUGCAGGGCUGUGCUUUUCCACACGUGCUCCCAAGGUCUCCCGAUUGGUGUGCUCAGCAGAAGGGGCCGGUCCUUGAAGUCAGCUCCUGUGCCUAUGACAGAUGAUAUUUUCAUGCAAGAAAACAAAACCAGACUAUCUGAUGGACUGCAUUAUUUUUCCAGGCGGCUUGGAACUGCAACUGCAAAGAACAGAGAGUAUUCAGAUGAAUGGUAUAAGAAUCCAGGCAUUAAUAAUGAUUAUUUGAUCAUGGUUUUGGAAUAAUAAGAAGAUAUUUCCUGUCUAUGUAUGUGGAGUGAUGUUUCUAAAGAAAACCAAAAAUGGAGUCAUUUGGAGAUGUUUCUAAAGAAAACCAAAAAUGGAGUAAUUUUGAUCUCUGAUGGGUGAAACUCACUGGAAUGGAAACCAACAUCUAUGCAGCAAACCAAGGCUCGCCAUGUUUUACAUCUGCCAAGUGCCUGGGGACUCCAAAGGAAGCAAAGUAUGAAGAAUAUCAAAGAAACAUAGAAGAACAGAAAAGUCAAUCUGAAUUUCAGGAUGUUUUACUGGAACCUGAGAUGAGUUUGCUGUCUGUGUCAUCCAUAUUAGACCACAAUGAGACAUCUUUGCAACCUGGUGGGACUACAAGGUGUGUUAGUGCCACCAAUCAAUCUGAAGCAGAGCAGCUCUGUGAAGAAUUACUGUGUUCUGCAAGGCACAAGUCAAAGGAAGAAGCUUUAAACUUUACUUCACACACAGAAUGGCCACUCCUUGCAGGAGAAAAUCCAUUCCAGAAACCAGAAAGGAGUCAUGAGAUCAGAGUCAUAAGACACAAGCCAAGUGCUAUCACAUUUUCUGAUUUUGAAUUUUUAUCACAUGAAGCUAAUACUAAACUCCAUAUUUCUGAGGCAGGAGAAGAUGACUUUUCAUAUGAAGAGGAAGAAGCAGAUGGCAGAGGUGAUGAUGAUCUGUUUGCAGAACUGCCACUGUAUGAUGCAUUUUUCAAUGGCCUUCACAGAACGGAUGUUUGCCCAAGAAAGCAAGCUAAAUGUGAACUUACUGAGUAUCCACACAUCUGUCAUUUAGAAGACUGUGAUGAUAAUUCCAAAAUGGAAUUGAAGGACCAUGACAAGGAGGAAAAACACACGGAGCUGGAGACGCAAUCAGAAGAAAGAUCGGAAUGGUCAGACUCUAUGUCAUGUCUUAUGAAGAAACUGGAACAGCUGAAUUUAGAUAUUGAAGAAGCUCUGAGUGCUAGCUCGUCUCCCUCCAGUACUCCUUCUACCACAAGGAACAGACAACUGGUAAGAAUGUGUGUCAUACGACACAUUUUCUAACAUUAGCUAUCAGAUGUUGGUCAAAUA